GGGCCUGUAGCUCAGCAAGGCAGAGCGCCGGGCUUUUAACCCGGGGGUCAGGGGUUCAAAUCCCCUUAGGCCCG
RNAcentral lists this transfer RNA (74 nucleotides) under Candidatus Bathyarchaeota archaeon. RNAcentral describes it as "tRNA-Lys". It matches the Rfam family "tRNA". From Rfam's summary of the family: Transfer RNA (tRNA) molecules are approximately 80 nucleotides in length. Their secondary structure includes four short double-helical elements and three loops (D, anti-codon, and T loops). Lineage: Archaea; Thermoproteati; Candidatus Bathyarchaeota. RNAcentral also lists the same sequence under 1 other name. The record is from RNAcentral.